Molecule: ribosomal RNA, 379 nt
Filed under: Sellaphora blackfordensis
Lineage: Eukaryota; Bacillariophyta; Bacillariophyceae; Sellaphorales; Sellaphoraceae
Description: eukaryotic LSU rRNA
Rfam family: Eukaryotic large subunit ribosomal RNA
Source: RNAcentral
AAGGGCGACUGAAGCGGGAAUAGCUCACGAUGCGAAUCAGCGCCGCCGAAUUGUGGUCUGGAGACUCUUGCAUUCGGGCCAAGUCCCUUGGAACAGGGCAGCCGAGAGGGUGAGACUCCCGUCCGCCUGGCCUUGUCNACGAGUCGAGUUGUUUGGGAUUGCAGCUCUAAGUGGGUGGUAAAUUCCAUCUAAAGCUAAAUACUGGUGGGAGACCGAUAGCGUACAAGUACCGUGAGGGAAAGAUGCAAAGAACUUUGAAAAGAGAGUUAAAGAGUACCUGAAAUUGCUGAAAGGGAAGCGAAGGAAACCAGUGUUGUUGCGUCAUAUUUCCCCGUUCGCUUGCGGUCGGGGCGCUGUGGCCAGCGUGGUCAUUUUUGGU